CGAAACGGCGCCGCCUUUCUUCUUCCCUCCCCUUCACUCUUUCACAAAUGACAACAAGCCGGCCCUUUUUUCAACCCAAACCGUGUGAGUCGCGAUGCCGCGAUUAACAACUUGUUUAGUCGGUCCAUCAGUCUCCUCCGCGGCUUGAGGGACUACACUCUGUCACGAUUAACAACUCGGGGACUAUGCUAUGCAAGGUAGAUCUCCUGUUUGACUAUCGAGUCCUGUGGUACAAAGCAAGGGUUCUUCUAUUUGGCUUCGUGAUUUCAAUUUUUAAAGUAAUUUUCUAAAGAUUUGUUCAUUUUUGUGUGAGUUUAUGUUGAUUUGUGAGGUAAAAGUUCAUUUUUGUUUUUACUAGUCCUAAGGUAGCGAGCCUUACUGUUUUUAUAUAUUUAGAAAAAUAAUUUUAUUUUUAUUUUUGUUUACUAUUUUUAUAUAUUUAGAAAAGACGAAUUCUUGUUUACAGUAUGUGUAAAUUUGGUUACAGUAAACCAAAAGUUCAUUUUUGUUUAUUGAUUUCAUAUAUUUAUAAUUAGAAAAAAUGAAUUCUUUAAUGCAAUAUGUUGUUUGAUGAUUAAUUAAUAGGUGAAAUGAAACUCAUUCGAAGUGUAUUGUUGUCUGCAAACAUCGGUUUGUC
This 637-nucleotide long non-coding RNA is filed under the name Olea europaea (common olive). Its description in RNAcentral is "long non-coding RNA (OEUR_LNC014861)". The record is from RNAcentral. Lineage: Eukaryota; Viridiplantae; Streptophyta; Magnoliopsida; Lamiales; Oleaceae.